Molecule: ribosomal RNA, 450 nt
Filed under: uncultured bacterium
Lineage: Bacteria
Description: bacterial SSU rRNA
Rfam family: Bacterial small subunit ribosomal RNA
Source: RNAcentral
GUGGGGAAUUUUGGACAAUGGGGGCAACCCUGAUCCAGCCAUGCCGCGUGCGGGAAGAAGGCCUUCGGGUUGUAAACCGCUUUUGUCAGGGAAGAAAUCCUUUGGGUUAAUACCUCGGAGGGAUGACGGUACCUGAAGAAUAAGCACCGGCUAACUACGUGCCAGCAGCCGCGGUAAUACGUAGGGUGCGAGCGUUAAUCGGAAUUACUGGGCGUAAAGCGUGCGCAGGCGGUUUUGUAAGAUCGAUGUGAAAUCCCCGGGCUCAACCUGGGAACUGCAUUGGUGACUGCAAGGCUGGAGUGCGGCAGAGGGGGAUGGAAUUCCGCGUGUAGCAGUGAAAUGCGUAGAUAUGCGGAGGAACACCGAUGGCGAAGGCAAUCCCCUGGGCCUGUACUGACGCUCAUGCACGAAAGCGUGGGGAGCAAACAGGAUUAGAUACCCUUGUAGUCC